This 253-nucleotide ribosomal RNA is filed under the name uncultured bacterium. RNAcentral describes it as "partial 16S ribosomal RNA". It matches the Rfam family "Bacterial small subunit ribosomal RNA", at positions 524 to 776 of the family's 1533-position model. The record is from RNAcentral.
UACAGAGGUGGCAAGCGUUGUUCGGAAUUACUGGGCGUAAAGCGUGCGCAGGCGGUUGUGCAAGACAGAUGUGAAAUCCCCGGGCUCAACCUGGGAACUGCAUUUGUGACUGCACGGCUGGAGUGCGGCAGAGGGGGAUGGAAUUCCGCGUGUAGCAGUGAAAUGCGUAGAUAUGCGGAGGAACACCGAUGGCGAAGGCAAUCCCCUGGGCCUGCACUGACGCUCAUGCACGAAAGCGUGGGGAGCAAACAGG